This 550-nucleotide ribosomal RNA is filed under the name uncultured bacterium. RNAcentral's name for it is "bacterial SSU rRNA". It matches the Rfam family "Bacterial small subunit ribosomal RNA", at positions 103 to 649 of the family's 1533-position model. The record is from RNAcentral.
CGGGUGAGUAACGCGUAGGAAUCUACCAAGUAGUGGGGGAUAAGCCAGAGAAAUUUGGUCUAAUACCGCAUACGCCCUUCGGGGGAAAGCAGGGGAUCUUCGGACCUUGCGCUAUCUGAUGAGCCUGCGUGAGAUUAGCUUGUUGGUGAGGUAAUGGCUCACCAAGGCGACGAUCUCUAGCUGGUCUGAGAGGAUGAUCAGCCACACUGGGACUGAGACACGGCCCAGACUCCUACGGGAGGCAGCAGUGGGGAAUAUUGCACAAUGGGCGCAAGCCUGAUGCAGCCAUGCCGCGUGUGUGAAGAAGGCCCUAGGGUUGUAAAGCACUUUCAGCAGUGAGGAAAGGUGUGUAGUUAAUACCUGCAUACUGUGACGUUAACUGCAGAAGAAGCACCGGCUAACUCCGUGCCAGCAGCCGCGGUAAUACGGAGGGUGCGAGCGUUAAUCGGAAUUACUGGGCGUAAAGCGCGCGUAGGUGGAUUGGUCAGUCAGAUGUGAAAGCCCAGGGCUCAACCUUGGAACUGCACCUGAUACUGCCAAUCUAGAAUAC